This 91-nucleotide microRNA precursor is filed under the name Mus pahari (shrew mouse). RNAcentral's name for it is "miRNA (MGP_PahariEiJ_G0007507.1)". The record is from RNAcentral. Lineage: Eukaryota; Metazoa; Chordata; Mammalia; Rodentia; Muridae.
CUGUGCUCCCACCAAGGGCCUCAUCUGGUCCUUGGCUGUGUAGCAGCAGCAGCAGCAGCAGCAGCAGCAGCAGCAGCAGCAGCAGCGAGUU